Molecule: ribosomal RNA, 472 nt
Filed under: uncultured bacterium
Lineage: Bacteria
Description: bacterial SSU rRNA
Rfam family: Bacterial small subunit ribosomal RNA
Source: RNAcentral
UCGAGAAUCUUCCGCAAUGGGCGAAAGCCUGACGGAGCGACGCCGCGUGUAGGAUGAAGGCCCUCGGGUUGUAAACUACUGUCACGGGUUAUGAAUGUGCAUAUGUUAACAGCGUGUGUAUUGACGUAAGCCCGAAAGGAAGCACCGGCUAACUCUGUGCCAGCAGCCGCGGUAAUACAGAGGGUGCAAACGUUGUUCGGAAUUACUGGGCAUAAAGCGCGCGUAGGCGGCGACGUAAGUGUAGGGUGAAAUCCCACGGCUCACCCGUGUGAAUUGCCCCGCAUACUGCGUUGCUCGAGUGUGGUAGGGGAGAGCGGAACUCCUGGUGGAGCGGUGAAAUGCGUAGAUAUCUGGAGGAACACCGGUGGCGAAGGCGGCAUCCUGGACCAAUACUGACGCUGAGGAGCGAAAGCCAGGGGAGCAAACGGGAUUAGAUACCCCCGUAGUCCCUGAGCGGGCUGGCAAGGCGCAU